Molecule: long non-coding RNA, 768 nt
Organism: Pieris napi
Lineage: Eukaryota; Metazoa; Arthropoda; Insecta; Lepidoptera; Pieridae
Exons: 3
Source: RefSeq, a predicted model, not a curated record
GUGGAUUUUAGUGGUUUUCUGGUGGGUUGCGACGGCAAAAUUGGUGGGUUCGUUAAAAUUAAGUUGGCAACACUGUAUACAUAUAGUUCAUGGUUGUCACUGUUUAUAUUUUAUAGAUUCAUAAGAUGAAAGAUCUUCAAAAUAAAAAACAUUGUUUCAAAGGGCUGUAUGGACUAAAGUCCUUUGUCUUUCCCAUUAGGGAUAAAUUAAUAUUUAAUAUCAUCAUCAACAUUGUUUCAAAGUUUAUAGUUGAAUGUUUUAAAAAAUAAUCAUGCUAAUAAUUUUGUUAGAAUGUAAUCACAAAUGAAAAUAAAAUUGGGACAAGCAAUGGUUUAAGAAGCGUGACCCAAUUGGAGUAAAUGGAAUGGUAGAAAUUAACAUAAAAGGCCUAACUCUUAUUGUAAAGACAUGAAAGUCUUUAUCACUUUUUUAAUUGCAAAUAUAGUACAUCUUAGUCCACCAAGUACAAGAAAAUUGUGAGGGAGUACAAGUACACUUUGCAAGAAGAGGGUCAACCCGAACCUUUGGUUUCCACCCCAAGCAAUGUUACUGUGAAAUGUCAGUAAACUUUUACCAUAAAUUUAGUAAAGAUCAAAGUUUUAUUUAAUAUUUUACAAUAAAUAUUCUUCUUUGCAAGUUUGAUUGUAGGAAAAGUAAACUAUGUAAAAUCAAAAUUUUCUUGCAAAGUUUUCAUUCUUGUAUAAAGUAAAAUUAUGAUAACUAAUUAUUAUGUAAUUUUGUUACAUUGAAUUAAAUCUUGAAUCAAAA